UACGUAGGGUGCGAGCGUUGCCCGGAUUUAUUGGGCGUAAAGGGCGCGCAGGCGGCUACGCACGUCCGUUGUGAAAUCGCUCGGCUCAACUGGGCGGGGUCAGCGGAUACGGCGUAGCUGGAGCAAGCUAGGGGGCAAUGGAAUUCCCGGUGUAGUGGUGGAAUGCGUAGAUAUCGGGAGGAACACCAGUGGCGAAGGCGGUUGCCUGGAGCUUUGCUGACGCUGAGACGCGAAAGCGUGGGGAGCGAACAGG
This 253-nucleotide ribosomal RNA is filed under the name uncultured bacterium. RNAcentral's name for it is "partial 16S ribosomal RNA". It matches the Rfam family "Bacterial small subunit ribosomal RNA", at positions 524 to 776 of the family's 1533-position model. The record is from RNAcentral.